Molecule: unclassified non-coding RNA, 280 nt
Filed under: Hevea brasiliensis (rubber tree)
Lineage: Eukaryota; Viridiplantae; Streptophyta; Magnoliopsida; Malpighiales; Euphorbiaceae
Source: RNAcentral
CUCAGAAUCACUAAUUUGACAUCGAACCACUGAUACGGAGCGCCGCCUCCUCGAAUUGUUGUUAUCCGAACUAACCCGUCCCCCAACAUGGCUAUUUCCAGCACUAGCCUUCCCUUCACCAACUCUGGAACCAUGCCUGGAAACAGACCUCCCUCUUCUUUGCGACACACUGACUUUAUCCCCAGAGCUGACAUCAUCAAUUCUCGAAGAAGAACGACCUCGAUCAGAAGAACCAAAGAACUGAACAGCAAGAUCAUCAAGAGUGAUAUCUGGAAACCCC